This 497-nucleotide ribosomal RNA is filed under the name uncultured bacterium. RNAcentral's name for it is "partial 16S ribosomal RNA". It matches the Rfam family "Bacterial small subunit ribosomal RNA", at positions 28 to 507 of the family's 1533-position model. The record is from RNAcentral.
GAUGAACGCUGGCGGCGUGCCUAAUACAUGCAAGUCGAGCGAACGGACGAGAAGCUUGCUUCCCUGAUGUUAGCGGCGGACGGGUGAGUAACACGUGGAUAACCUACCUAUAAGACUGGGAUAACUUCGGGAAACCGGAGCUAAUACCGGAUAAUAUUUUGAACCGCAUGGUUCAAAAGUGAAAGACGGUCUUGCUGUCACUUAUAGAUGGGUCCGCGCUGCAUUAGCUAGUUGGUAAGGUAACGGCUUACCAAGGCAACGAUGCAUAGCCGACCUGAGAGGGUGAUCGGCCACACUGGAACUGAGACACGGUCCAGACUCCUACGGGAGGCAGCAGUAGGGAAUCUUCCGCAAUGGGCGAAAGCCUGACGGAGCAACGCCGCGUGAGUGAUGAAGGUCUUCGGAUCGUAAAACUCUGUUAUUAGGGAAGAACAUAUGUGUAAGUAACUGUGCACAUCUUGACGGUACCUAAUCAGAAAGCCACGGCUAACUACGUG